AGUUUGAUCCUGGCUCAGAUUGAACGCUGGCGGCAUGCCUUACACAUGCAAGUCGAACGGCAGCACGGGGGCAACCCUGGUGGCGAGUGGCUGAACGGGUGAGUAAUACAUCGGAACGUGCCCUAUCGUGGGGGAUAACCAGUCGAAAGAUUGGCUAAUACCGCAUGAGCUCGGAAGAGGAAAGCAGGGGAUCGAAAGACCUUGCGCGAUUGGAGCGGCCGAUGUCCGAUUAGCUAGUAGGUGGGGUAAAGGCCCACCUAGGCGACGAUCGGUAGCUGGUCUGAGAGGAUGAUCAGCCACACUGGGACUGAGACACGGCCCAGACUCCUACGGGAGGCAGCAGUGGGGAAUUUUGGACAAUGGGGGCAACCCUGAUCCAGCCAUGCCGCGUGAGUGAAGAAGGCCUUCGGGUUGUAAAGCUCUUUCGGUGGGAACGAAACGGUGGAUGCUAAUACCAUCCACUCCUGACGGUACCUACAGAAGAAGCACCGGCUAACUACGUGCCAGCAGCCGCGGUAAUACGUAGGGUGCAAGCGUUAAUCGGAAUUACUGGGCGUAAAGCGUGCGCAGGCGGCUUGCUAAGACAGGUGUGAAAGCCCCGGGCUUAACCUGGGAAUUGCGCUUGUGACUGGCCAGGCUGGAGUGUGGCAAAGGGAGGUGGAAUUCCACGUGUCAUAAAUGCGUAAGAUGUGGAGGAACAACCGAAUUGCAAAGGGAGCCUNCCUGGGGGCCAGCACUUGACGCUCCAUUGGCCCAAAAGCCGUGGGGAAGCCAAACCAGGAUUAGAUACCCCUGUUAGUCCACGCCCCUAAAACGAUUGUCAACUGGUUGUUUGGUGGGGUUAAACCCAUUAGUAACGAAGCUAACGCGUGAAGUUGACCGCCUGGGGAGUAUGCCCGCAAGGUUAAAACUCAAAGGAAUUGACGGGGACCCGCACAAGCGGUGGAUGAUGUGGAUUAAUUCGAUGCAACGCGAAGAACCUUACCUACCCUUGACAUGCCAGGAACCCUGCUGAGAGGUGGGGGUGCCCGAAAGGGAGCCUGGACACAGGUGCUGCAUGGCUGUCGUCAGCUCGUGUCGUGAGAUGUUGGGUUAAGUCCCGCAACGAGCGCAACCCUUGUCACUAGUUGCCACCGCAAGGGGCACUCUAGUGAGACUGCCGGUGACAAACCGGAGGAAGGUGGGGAUGACGUCAAGUCCUCAUGGCCCUUAUGGGUAGGGCUUCACACGUCAUACAAUGGCGCAUACAGAGGGCUGCCAACCCGCGAGGGGGAGCCAAUCCCAGAAAGUGCGUCGUAGUCCGGAUUGCAGUCUGCAACUCGACUGCAUGAAGUCGGAAUCGCUAGUAAUCGCGGAUCAGCAAUGUCGCGGUGAAUACGUUCCCGGGUCUUGUACACACCGCCCGUCACACCAUGGGAGUGGGUUUCACCAGAAGCCGGUUGCCUAACCGCAAGGAGGGCGCUGACCACGGUGAGAUUCAUGACUGGGGUGAAGUCGUAACAAGGUAGCCGUACCGGAAGGUGCGGCUGGAUCACCUCCUU
RNAcentral lists this ribosomal RNA (1541 nucleotides) under uncultured bacterium. RNAcentral describes it as "16S ribosomal RNA". It matches the Rfam family "Bacterial small subunit ribosomal RNA". The record is from RNAcentral.